This 1269-nucleotide long non-coding RNA is filed under the name Coturnix japonica (Japanese quail). RNAcentral's name for it is "lncRNA (ENSCJPG00005013361.1)". Lineage: Eukaryota; Metazoa; Chordata; Aves; Galliformes; Phasianidae. The record is from RNAcentral.
AUGCCAAGAUCAGAAAGAAGCAGUCGCUUUCCUGUGUGUUUUGAAACGUUAUACCCUCUGGAUGCCACCACCUCAUUGGAAGACAAGGAACAGGCAGUAGAAGACAUAAGAAGUGUUCUGAGAAGAGAGACACAGGAUAUGGCAGUAUUAUUGUCAACUUUAAUUUCAGUAUUUUUGGUACUGUCAUUUACAGAAUCACAGAAUUGUAGGGGUUGGAAGGGACCUUUAGAGAUCAUCGAGUCCAAUCCCCCUGCCAAAGCAGGUUCCCUACACCACGUCGCACAGGUAGGCGUCCAGGCGGGUCUUGAAUAUCUCCAGAGAAGGAGACUCCACCACCUCCCUGGGCAGCCUGUUGCAGUGCAUUUAGAUAAGCAGCAGUAUCACAGUAACAGCAUGAAGCCUGUCCUGAACACAGAUAGGGCAAAAACGUCGUAACUCAGUGAGCGCUGGGUGAGUGCGAUUUCGGAUCAGCCGGCUGUGCUGGCGCUCGUCCUGCAGGGGGCGCUGUAACACAGCGCAGAGACGCGGCGCUUUCAGGCACCGCCCACGCCGCGCCCGCUGAUAACGGUGCUAUUAAGUGCCAGCGGUGUCCGCAGCGUGGGCCGCCGGCUGCUUUCUGCACUUCCACAAUGAUUUUAUCUAAAGCGUGAACUGGGUAGUGAAAACCACACUGCACACAGCUGAGUCUUUCUUCAGCAGACGCACGAUUGUGGUGUCAAUCAGCGGGAACGCUUCUAUUGUGAGUCGAAAGCCCGCGUGUUAAAGGAAACAAAGGAGUGCCACGCUUGUAAAACACAGAAUCACACACACAGAAUCACAGAAUUACCCGGGUUGGAAGGGACCUCAAGGAUCAUGUAGUUCCAACCCCCCUGCCUGGCAGGGCCACCAAACAUACACAUUUACUAGAUCAGGUUGCCCAGGGCCCCGUCCAACCUGGUCUUGAACACCUCCAAGGACGGGGCAUCCACAACCUCCCUGGGCAGCCUGUUCCAGUACCUAACCACUCUCUUAGUAAAGAACUUCCCCCUAACGUCCAACCUAAAUCUUCCCUCUUUUAACUUAAAACCAUUUCCACACAUUAAUUGAAUGAAGGUCAACGAUUAUACUGACAUGAAUAGUCAGGUGAUAUAUGAAGGCUAAGGAUGGGGCUUGGCAUCCAUAGGUAAAAUGGCCAAGUAGUAUUGGGGCUACCAUGGCCUCCACCUGAGCCCACCAUUCACCACCUAAAGUGGAAAUAAAGUAACGCUUUGUGUACCUUGUAGGGGUAUG